Non-coding RNA from Pangasius djambal, 74 nucleotides. Lineage: Eukaryota; Metazoa; Chordata; Actinopteri; Siluriformes; Pangasiidae. The record is from the annotation of a GenBank genome assembly.
GGCAGUGGUAGCUCAGUAGUUAAGGCUUUGGUCUACUGAUCAGAAGGUUGUGAGUUCAAGUCUCAGCACUGCCA